UGCGGUUCUCGGGUGAGGCACCCUGGAAUCGGGCUACCUCCUCUCUGGUUCUGGGGUGCAUUUACCGAGAACCGCA
Non-coding RNA from Myotis brandtii (Brandt's bat), 76 nucleotides. The record is from Rfam. NCBI's taxonomy places the organism in Eukaryota, Metazoa, Chordata, Mammalia, Chiroptera, Vespertilionidae.